UUUCCGUAGGUGAACCUGCGGAAGGAUCAUUAAAGAGUAAGGGUCUUCGGGCCCGAUCUCCAACCCUUUGUUUAACUACCAUGUUGCUUUGGCGGGCCCGUCUCACGACCGCCGGAAGUUUGGCUUCGACCAAACUUCUGGCCCGUGCCCGUCAGUGGCCCCUUCAAAUUCUUGAUCAAGUAUGAUGUCUUAGUUAAAAACUUAAUAGUUAAAACUUUCAACAACGGAUUUCUUGGUUCUG
Molecule: unclassified non-coding RNA, 241 nt
Filed under: plant metagenome
Description: partial contains small subunit ribosomal RNA, internal transcribed spacer 1, and 5.8S ribosomal RNA
Source: RNAcentral